Molecule: long non-coding RNA, 538 nt
Organism: Sciurus carolinensis (gray squirrel)
Lineage: Eukaryota; Metazoa; Chordata; Mammalia; Rodentia; Sciuridae
Exons: 3
Source: RefSeq, a predicted model, not a curated record
CUCACACACCCCACCCAGCCCCGUGCAGCCCCCUGGGCGGAUACCAAGGAGCCGGAGGGCGAGAACUCCUGUGUGCCGGACACCAGCUGGUGGCAGGUCCCCUGUCGCCACUGGGCCUCCAUUUCCCCAUCUGAGGAAUGGCAGGAACCGGCUCCUCUCUGGAGUUCUGUCCAUUCCAAGGCUGUGGACGAUAGUGAUGAGGAGCAUUGCCUCUGGAGUCUGAGAAACCUGGGUUUGAGACCAGGCUCUGAUGUCUCCCUGCUGUGUGACCUCUGGUAAGGAAACGGAGGCAGAGUGGACCUUGCUAUGGUCACACAGGUACGAGGAGACGGACCGGCUGGAUCCCACACCAGGCUCUGGAGGAACAGGCUGUAUGCCAGCCCCUGGGUUCCUCCAGAGCUUGGUUUAGAUGUCACUCCCCAGAGACGCCUUCCCUGACCCGCCUGGAAGAGACCCACUGUCUGUUCACUGCACCUGGUGUCUUCCUCCUGACACCUGUCAGAGGUGGACAGUUCACGUCCCUAUUGGCUUCACUGUG